This 783-nucleotide ribosomal RNA is filed under the name uncultured bacterium. RNAcentral's name for it is "bacterial SSU rRNA". It matches the Rfam family "Bacterial small subunit ribosomal RNA", at positions 8 to 786 of the family's 1533-position model. The record is from RNAcentral.
AGAGUUUGAUCCUGGCUCAGGAUGAACGCUAGCGGCAGGCCUAACACAUGCAAGUCGAACGGUAACAUAAGAGCUUGCUCUUGAUGACGAGUGGCGCACGGGUGAGUAACGCGUAUGCAAUCUACCUAUAACUGAGGGAUAGCCCAGAGAAAUUUGGAUUAAUACCUCAUAACAUUAUUAUUUGGCAUCAUUUAAUAAUUAAAACUCCGGUGGUUAUAGAUGAGCAUGCGUUCUAUUAGCUAGUUGGUGAGGUAAGAGCUCACCAAGGCUACGAUAGAUAGGGGGCCUGAAAGGGUGAUCCCCCACACUGGUACUGAGACACGGACCAGACUCCUACGGGAGGCAGCAGUGAGGAAUAUUGCACAAUGGAGGAAACUCUGAUGCAGCCAUGCCGCGUGCAGGAUGAAGGCCCUAUGGGUUGUAAACUGCUUUUUUACAAGAAGAAACCUUGGUACGUGUACCAACUUGACGGUAUUGUAAGAAUAAGCACCGGCUAACUCCGUGCCAGCAGCCGCGGUAAUACGGAGGGUGCAAGCGUUAUCCGGAUUUAUUAGGUUUAAAGGGUUCGCAGGCGGAAUUUUAAGUCAGUGGUGAAAGCCUACAGCUCAACUGUAGAACUGCCAUUGAAACUGAUAUUCUUGAGUAUAGAUGAAGUGGGCGGAAUAUGUCAUGUAGCGGUGAAAUGCAUAGAUAUGACAUGGAACACCAAUUGCGAAGGCAGCUCACUAAACUAUUACUGACGCUCAUGAACGAAAGCGUGGGGAGCAAACAGGAUUAGAUACC